UAGGGAAUCUUCCACAAUGGACGCAAGUCUGAUGGAGCAACGGCCGCGUGAGUGAAGAAGGCUUUCGGGUCGUAAAACUCUGUUAUUGAAGAAGAACGUGUGUGACAGUAACUGGUCAUGCAGUGACGGUAUUCAAUCAGAAAGUCACGGCUAACUACGUGCCAGCAGCCGCGGUAAUACGUAGGUGGCAAGCGUUGUCCGGAUUUAUUGGGCGUAAAGCGAGUGCAGGCGGUCUUUUAGUCUGUGUGAAAGCCUUCGGCUUAACCGAAGAAGGGCAUCG
Molecule: ribosomal RNA, 280 nt
Filed under: uncultured bacterium
Lineage: Bacteria
Description: partial 16S ribosomal RNA
Rfam family: Bacterial small subunit ribosomal RNA
Source: RNAcentral